RNAcentral lists this unclassified non-coding RNA (456 nucleotides) under uncultured Mortierellaceae. Its description in RNAcentral is "sequence contains ITS2". The stretch from base 1 to 154 matches the Rfam family "5.8S ribosomal RNA". Lineage: Eukaryota; Fungi; Mortierellomycota; Mortierellomycetes; Mortierellales; Mortierellaceae. The record is from RNAcentral.
AACUUUUGACAAUGGAUCUCUUGGCUCUCGCAUCGAUGAAGAACGCAGCAAAAUGCGAUACGUAAUGUGAAUUGCAGAAUUCAGUGAAUCAUCUAAUCUUUGAACGCAUAGUGCGCUCUCUGGUAUUACGGAGAGCAUGCUUGUUUGAUUAUCAGUAAACACCUCAAAUCCCUCUACUUGUUGGAGGAGUUUGGACUUCAGCAAUCCUAACUUUUCGAAAGAGAAGGCGGGUUACUUGAAAUGCAGGUGCAGCUUGAUUCUUUCUUCUGAGCUAUAAGCAUACUUGUUUAAUCCCGUCAAAUGAAUUAGUACUUUUGCUGUAGCUAACAUAAAGGUUGAAGAGUCGCGAUGGCUGAAUGAUGCAGGAUUUAACAUGUCGCGCAAGCGAUCUGUAAACUAGAUCUCAAAUCAAGCAAGACUACCCGUUGGACUUAAGCAUAUCAAUAAGCGGAGGCU